Molecule: long non-coding RNA, 959 nt
Organism: Branchiostoma floridae (Florida lancelet)
Lineage: Eukaryota; Metazoa; Chordata; Leptocardii; Amphioxiformes; Branchiostomatidae
Exons: 3
Source: RefSeq, a predicted model, not a curated record
AAAAUAAUUCUCCCCUCUUCCCCGAGCAAUUGUAGUCGCCCAACUUAAGGAUGAGCUCAUCUGUCUGACAUCCAGCUCAUUGCUCCCAGCGGCUUGCGUGAAACAAGACUCGUCACCAGCUCUCUGUGCUUUAUCUUCGGAAACUACCGAGAAAACAGCAAAAAACUCGCCAAAAUGUUCAACAAGAUCGUGACCGUGUGUGUGCUCCUCCUGGCUAUCGUGGCUGUAGCUUUCGCACAGAACUCCACCGCAGCAAAUAACGCCACCAUGGCACCAACCCAAGCACCAACUACAGCAAGCGGGACUGGCUUUGUGCAACCUGAGUUGGUGAUGCUGCUGCUUUCUGCCGUGGCUGCCUUCUUCCGCUAGUGAUAUCAUCACGUCAACGUCCAAUCAGAAUCCACGUCAAAUUAUUCCAGCACUGUGAUUGGCAGAUGUAGAUGUAGCUGCAUGGGAAGCGGACCCCUUUAGUUUCACAUCUAAGAAUUAUGAUAAUUGGAACGAGUAAUCUUACUGUGAACUGUACUAAACAUCCACAAACUUUCACUAACUAGAACUCAUCUAAACUUGUGACAGCGAACAUUGUGAUUGGUCAGAAGUCUAACAGAUUACCCAAUCAGAAUGCACCACUAGAUCCUGUUACACCUGGCUUUCAUACCAUUGGUCAGCGAGUUUGAGUUACUUCAACCUUUCAGGUUCAGUAGCGAUGACGUCUCGAUGAAAAACAAAAACAAAUGUAGACUACAGUGACUUUAUCGACCAGUAUUUGCUUCCGAGACUGUCCAUGCUUUUUUAUGUUGUACUUUUUAGUUUAAUAGGUGUGACUAUCAUUUUAUCUCUUGUGCAAUUCACGCGUGCCUUAAUGACCGACUGUACCAUUAUAAAGAGUUGUGAAGAGGCUACUGGCUAUGCAAUAAUAACCUUUGUCUGUCAAUAAAGUUUCUUACACCAUGCUUUGA